This 253-nucleotide ribosomal RNA is filed under the name uncultured bacterium. Its description in RNAcentral is "partial 16S ribosomal RNA". It matches the Rfam family "Bacterial small subunit ribosomal RNA", at positions 524 to 776 of the family's 1533-position model. The record is from RNAcentral.
UACAGAGGUCUCAAGCGUUGUUCGGAUUCAUUGGGCGUAAAGGGUGCGUAGGUGGCGCUGUAAGUCGGGUGUGAAAUUUCGGAGCUUAACUCCGAAACUGCAUUCGAUACUGCGGUGCUUGAGGACUGGAGAGGAGACUGGAAUUCAUGGUGUAGCAGUGAAAUGCGUAGAUAUCUGGAGGAACACCGGUGGCGAAGGCGGCGUUCUGGACUGCAACUGACACUGAGGAACGAAAGCCAGGGGAGCAAACGGG